RNAcentral lists this long non-coding RNA (1092 nucleotides) under Homo sapiens (human). RNAcentral describes it as "HSALNT0101383". Lineage: Eukaryota; Metazoa; Chordata; Mammalia; Primates; Hominidae. The record is from RNAcentral.
CCUCAAUAAUCCUCCACAAAACAUAGGGAAUGUCAUGGAUACUGUGCUACUGCCUAAAUUUCCCCCUUCAAAAAGGGAGAAUUCACGCCCAAUACGGUCAGUCCUUGUUAUGGUUUGGCUCUGUGUCCUUGCCCAAAUCUCAGGUCAUCUCGUAAUCCCCAGUGUUGGAGGUGGGGCCUCGUGGGAGGUGAUUGAAUCAUAGGGCCUGGUGGGAGGUGACUGAAUCACGGAGGUGGAUUUCCCCCUUGGUGCUGUUCUGGUGAAAGGGAGUGAGAUCUCAUGAGAUCCGCUAGUUUAAAAGAGUGUGGCAUCUUCCCCCUCUCCCUCUUGCUUCUGCUCCCGCCAUGUGAGAUGCCUGCUUCCGUUCUGCCUUCCAUAAUGACUGGAAGAUUCCUGAGGCCUCCCCAGAGGCAGAAGCCUCUGUGCUUCCUCUACAGCCGGCAGAACUGCACUGUUGCCAACCCUCGUGGAAAAGAUCUGUUUGUGUUAGCUAUUCAGGCAUGAAUAUUGGAAUUUGAAAACAAAGAACAUGAUCUAGUAAGCUCAUGGGACUUAUCCUUCCAGAGGAAAAUGUUCCCCGUGUCUACACACUGUCCCGCAGCAGAUGCGCUCACCCUUCUACAACCAGAGGUGUGUUCACGCCAGAUGUGUUCUGUUUAGGGCUGGGGUCAGCAAGUAUAUUUGCGUCUUAGAUAAAAUAACUUAGUGCCAACGUGUGUCUGAGUCACGGAGCCAUGAAUUUGGAUUCCAUACCACCCAGGCAGGCUGAAACUCUGGGUAGAUGUGGAAAGGGUUUAAAGAUAUUUCAGAAUGUCACAAAGAACUGUGAGCUCUGAGAAAACUCUAUCAUGAGUUUAGUGCAAAGUACUUGAGCACAGGAAAUCCCAUCAGAGGAGAGCUCAGUUUGGUCCAGUGAAAUUCCAUGAACAGAAUCCUGAGACGCCUCUGGGCUUCGGUUCAGGUAACUUCAAUACAGAGAAGAGGUUGCAAAAGAAGGUUCUUCUCACCAAGUCAAUCCUAAGCCAAAAGAACAAAGCUGGAGGCAUCACGAUACCUGACUUCAAACUAUACUACAAGGCUACAGUAACCAAA